GACGAACGCUGGCGGCGCGCUUAACACAUGCAAGUCGAGCGAGAACCGGGGCUUCGGCCCCGGGGACAGCGGCGAACGGGUGAGUAACACGUGGGCAACCUGCCCUCGGCACCGGAAUAGCCCGGGGAAACCCGGAUUAAUGCCGGAUGGCCCCUCAGCCCUGCGGGGCGGUGGGAAAAGGUAGCUUUGGCCUCCGGCCGAGGAUGGGCCCGCGGCGGAUUAGCUUGUUGGUGGGGUAACGGCCUACCAAGGCUCCGAUCCGUAGCUGGUCUGAGAGGACGAUCGGCCACACUGGGACUGAGACACGGGCCAGACUCCUACGGGAGGCAGCAGUGGGGAAUCUUGCGCAAUGGGCGAAAGCCUGACGGGGCGACGCCGCGUGGGGGAGGAAGGCCUUCGGGUUGUAAACCCCUGUUGUCGGGGAAGAAGGGCUGCGUGAGCGGCAUUGACGGUACCCGACGAGGAAGCCCCGGCUAACUACGUGCCAGCCGCCGCAGUAA
This 500-nucleotide ribosomal RNA is filed under the name uncultured bacterium. Its description in RNAcentral is "partial 16S ribosomal RNA". It matches the Rfam family "Bacterial small subunit ribosomal RNA", at positions 28 to 523 of the family's 1533-position model. The record is from RNAcentral.